RNAcentral lists this long non-coding RNA (411 nucleotides) under Fukomys damarensis (Damara mole-rat). Its description in RNAcentral is "lncRNA (ENSFDAG00000024029.1)". Lineage: Eukaryota; Metazoa; Chordata; Mammalia; Rodentia; Bathyergidae. The record is from RNAcentral.
GCGCGCCACCGCACUGCGGCUCCCACGGAUCCCUCCGCGUCCGCUCCGCAACCACAGGCCCGCGGAUCUCUCGUCUCCACACAGCAGAGAUAUUGCAACGUUUUCUGAGAGAAUCUCAGAUCCUUUUGUUCCAGUUAUCCUUUCAAGGACAGACUGGAGGAACAGAGAACAGAACAGGUCUGUACCAGGAAGAUUCACCUGAGCCUCCCAGCUGUGCAGGAGAACAAGAUCGAUAUGUUAAAGAACGGUCUCAAUCUGCCACUUUACAGAAGCUGGUUCUAGACCGAUUUUAUGAUGCAAAACAGUAUUCUUCUCUCCGCAGCAGCGGGAAGGUCACUUCCUUCACCUUUCUCUUUUUUUUUUCUCUCUCUUUUAAAUUUGAAAAUGUAAACUGUUAUUAAAGAAUCAGCA